AAGAAGCAGUAAGCACAGCGGCGGCGGCGGCGGCGGAGGCGGAGGCGGCGGUGCAGACCCUGCCUGGACCAGCGCGCUCUCUGGAAAUAGCUCCGGCCCCGGCCCAGGCUCGUCCCCGGCCGGCAGCACCAAGCCUUUUGUGCACGCCGUGCCCCCCUCUGACCCCCUGCGCCAGGCCAACCGCCUGCCAAUCAAGGUGCUGAAGAUGCUGACGGCACGAACUGGCCACAUUUUGCACCCCGAGUACCUGCAGCCCCUGCCUUCCACGCCGGUCAGCCCCAUCGAGGAGGAGGAUUGACACCAGCCACACGUAUGUCUGCUGCUGACAAAUGUGCGCACGCCUUGGAGGGCGGGGCCAGGCAGGACAGAGCCGCCCAUGACAGGGGGACACCUCCUGUUCUAGAAUUCUUGGACUGAUUAUCCAUCUUGACAAAGGAGGCCUUGAAUCAAAUUUAAUCUGGUUUAGUGCACUUAUCAAAGAGACAUCGGAGAGAUCCCUUGUGCCUUCUGCCAUGUGAGUUAUAGUGAGAAGACAGCCAUCUACUAGGAAUCAGACCGUCAUCAGACACCAAAUCUGCCAGCACCUUGAUCUUAGAUUUCCCAGACUCCAGAACUGUUAGAAAUAAAUUUCUGUUGUUUAUAAGCC
RNAcentral lists this long non-coding RNA (646 nucleotides) under Homo sapiens (human). Its description in RNAcentral is "non-protein coding lnc-ZNF503-1:7". Lineage: Eukaryota; Metazoa; Chordata; Mammalia; Primates; Hominidae. The record is from RNAcentral.